GCUGUUUGAUAGCUUACAUGUGGCCCAGUCACUUCUGUCAUCACCUACUAUUGCCAGCCACUCCAAGCAACAGAGCCUUCCAACUGACUGUUUCUCAUUCUGGAAUUCUGAAACAGUCUGAGUGGAUGGUUCUGGCUCACAUCCUGUCACAAGGUUAUUGUCAAACUGUCUUCAGUCAUCUCAAGACUCAGCCAAGGCUGAAGAAUCAGCAUCUAAGUUCACUCCAGUUCUUGUUGUGACCACUGGAGCCAAGUUGGAAUUAGCAUCAACAAUG
Suricata suricatta (meerkat) is the source of this 274-nucleotide long non-coding RNA. RefSeq lists it as uncharacterized. The transcript has 3 exons. The record is from RefSeq and is a predicted model, not a curated record. Lineage: Eukaryota; Metazoa; Chordata; Mammalia; Carnivora; Herpestidae.